AUAAAAAACCAAUGUCUUCGGACUCCUUGGUGAUUCAUGAUAACUUUACGAAUCGGAUGGCCUUGCGCCGGCGAUGGUUCAUUCAAAUUUCUGCCCUAUCAAUUUCGAUGCUAGGAUAGUGGCCUACCAUGGUUUCAACGGGUAACGGGGAAUUAGGGUUCUAUUCCGGAGAGGGAGCCUGAGAAACGGCUACCACAUCCAAGGAAGGCAGCAGGCGCGCAAAUUACCCAAUCCUCCGCACGGGAAGGUAGUGACAAUAAAUACUGAUACAGGGCCCUUUCGGGUCUUGUAAUCGAAAGAGUACAAUUUAAAUCCCUUAACGAGGAACAAUUGGAGGGCAAGUCUGGUGCCGAGCAGCCGCGGUAAUUCCAGCUCCAAUAGCGUAUAUUAAAGUUGUUGCAGUUAAAAAGCUCGUAGUUGAACUUUGGGUCUGGCUGACCGGUCCGCCUCACCGCGUGCACUGGUUCCGCCGGAUCUUUCCUUAUGGCAAACCGCAUGCCCUUUAGUGGGUGUGUU
Molecule: ribosomal RNA, 516 nt
Filed under: uncultured Pulchromyces
Lineage: Eukaryota; Fungi; Ascomycota
Description: SSU rRNA
Rfam family: Eukaryotic small subunit ribosomal RNA
Source: RNAcentral